Non-coding RNA from Solenopsis invicta (red fire ant), 95 nucleotides. The record is from Rfam. Lineage: Eukaryota; Metazoa; Arthropoda; Insecta; Hymenoptera; Formicidae.
AUAUUAUGAUGACAUUAGCCAUGCUAAUACCGAGAAAUCAUAUGAAUUUUACAUAUGGAUUUCGCUGAGUUAAACUUUUAAAAUAACUGAAUCUU